UUUCUAGUAUAGACAGUGGACGAGCUGAAGCAGUUAUAGGAAAGAUGGACGUAUCUGUCUUCUUCUAGAACUUGCAAAAUCAUGGCGAGAAGGGAUUCAGUCAGAAGCUGCAAAGGCUAUUGCAAAGUCUGUUGCUGAAGAAGGAAGAAUCAGAAUUCUUGCUGGUUUGGCAAAGUCAAUGAACAGACUUGUGGCUGAGGAAGCUGCUGGUGGACUAUGGAAUCUCUCUCUGUCGGAGAAGAGCAUAAGGUGAAGAAUAACCCGUGGCGAGAUGUUGAUGCUCAGAGUGGGGUCUUGCUAUGGUCUAACAGAAGUAAGGUACCACACCGUGCUAUCUGGUGUUUCAAGGAGUCUUGGCAUCUGCUGUCAGGCACAUUCAUCAGUCAAAAGCCUAACUUUCAGGUCUGCUUUCUCCUAUCAAGUAUUAUAACAUGGGAAACGAAAAGAGUCAAAAGCCUACAAAGAACAACUCUGUGUCAGCCUCUAAUAUAGUAUCUCAGCUAAUGGGAAGCUGCUUGCGAUGAACCCUUGAAGGAGAUGUUAUGAUACUUGACAUACCUCAACAAGUCGGAGAGGUAUCAAACAUACCUCAACAUCGUGUUCUUCUAAAUCCUCUGCUUCACCAUCUUGUGGAUCGGAGGACCUUGUUGUGUCCAUGGCGUUUCUCUUCAACUACUCCCAUCUUUGUCAAUUAAUUUGAAUUCCAAGGAGGUCAUCAUAAAAACUAGAGACCAUGUGCAACUUCAAUGAAACCUAAGAAGUACCAUAAGGAAGUACACCACAUGCAUCUGCUAUAAUUUUCAGGAAUUUAAUCUUCAAGCAAUGAAAAGGGCUAACCAACAUGCAUAAACAUCUUUAAUAGCUUCACCAAUAAUGAUUGGAGGCCUCACUUUACUGAACCAAGGAGCCUUGUAGCCCUGUGAACAAAAAGGUCUGAAUGAUGAGUUAAGAUAUGAGUACUUGGAGAAAAGUUGUCUGAUGAUGAAUCCAUUGCACUUUGGCCACAAAAUCAGUCACAAUUAUCUCAAGCCAAAGGCAAUCAUUUGAAAAAUGUGAAAAGGGAAACGAGUAUUGCUCUGACCUGCUUCAAGAUCCUUCAUUUGAAUUCACUCGCGACUCCUGCCAAUGGCUUGAAUGAGUAAGCUCUAUCGUGGUCUCUCUGAUCCAUGUAUGCCAGAAGGAAAGUAACUAUCCUUUCUAGUUUAUGAUAAGGUUCAUCAAAGCUACUGUCAGAAAAAAGUAGAAAGAAGUCCAAGCUGGGGGUGACGUGGCAUUAAAGAAAGUGGAAGCAAACCCUAUGUAAUGUUUGACUGGGGGAAAGGGAAAAGCAGAGACUGCGAUGGAAACAGAGGCUUCCAACUCCAUAUAAAGAAGCGUUGCUCCUCUUCUAUCUUUGGCCUGCGUGCUUGGUGGAGUCGAUCGCUAUGUGAUCGACCUGAGGAAUCAUUUUGUAAUUUGUGAUUACAUAAACGAUCUGUAUCCUUUGUGUUUAUCGAUUUGUAAACACAGUUUUAUCAAUAGGUUUUCGGAUUUCUUA
Non-coding RNA from Camelina sativa (false flax), 1537 nucleotides. The record is from RefSeq and is a predicted model, not a curated record. NCBI's taxonomy places the organism in Eukaryota, Viridiplantae, Streptophyta, Magnoliopsida, Brassicales, Brassicaceae.